UGGGGAAUUUUGGACAAUGGGCGAAAGCCUGAUCCAGCAAUGCCGCGUGUGUGAAGAAGGCCUUCGGGUUGUAAAGCACUUUUGUCCGGAAAGAAAUCCUUGGCUCUAAUACAGUCGGGGGAUGACGGUACCGGAAGAAUAAGCACCGGCUAACUACGUGCCAGCAGCCGCGGUAAUACGUAGGGUGCAAGCGUUAAUCGGAAUUACUGGGCGUAAAGCGUGCGCAGGCGGUUUGCUAAGACCGAUGUGAAAUCCCCGGGCUCAACCUGGGAACUGCAUUGGUGACUGGCAGGCUAGAGUAUGGCAGAGGGGGGUAGAAUUCCACGUGUAGCAGUGAAAUGCGUAGAGAUGUGGAGGAAUACCGAUGGCGAAGGCAGCCCCCUGGGCCAAUACUGACGCUCAUGCACGAAAGCGUGGGGGAGCAAACAGGAUUAGAUACCCUGGGUAGUCCACGCCCUAAAACGAUGUCAACUAGUUGUUGGGGAUUCAUUUCCUUAGUAACGUAGCUAACGCGUGAAGUUGACCGCCU
This 529-nucleotide ribosomal RNA is filed under the name uncultured bacterium. Its description in RNAcentral is "partial 16S ribosomal RNA". It matches the Rfam family "Bacterial small subunit ribosomal RNA", at positions 355 to 874 of the family's 1533-position model. The record is from RNAcentral.